CUGGAGCCAAGUAAGUGUCCUGAUCUGGCGAAGGAAAGUAGAAAAAAAUAGCUUCCAUUUUCCUGUUAUUAUUUUGGAGCCGAAAUUGGGAAGAAAUAUUAUUCAGUAGCUUUUCCACAACAGCUGCUGAAUGUGCUCGUGCCCAGCCCGCGACUUGGAGUCGGGCAGAGGGGGUGUUGGGGGUUAGGACGGAAUGCUCAGCACCUGACCCCUUACAGCUGCGGAGGAGGCUCUCCCUUUUCUCAGUAGUUCUCCAUUUUUCUUCCUACAGCAUGUUUCCCUGGGAGCCACUGUGAUGGAUCAACGACAACAAUAGAGAUGGGUCAUCUGAGUGCUGAGAGGAAAGGAAGUACUGUACUCGCAUAGAAAGUUAACAACGAUAUGCUAAAUUUUGAUUUGUGUAAAAAAUAUGGAUAUGUAUUAGUAUAUGUAUAGAAAAUGUGUUUUCAGAUGAAAAUAUAGAAAUCAAAUUGCAGUGGUUACCUUGAGUGUUGUGUCUUUCAGUUUAUAAGGAGUUUCUAUGGAAUUUGGCAUGAAAUUUGCAUUAAUUUUGUCACUAACGUGACCAAAUUCCUCUUACUGUUUGCUCUUGGGCUUGAAACGUCUUUUAGUUUCUCCCCUUAAAAAUGAAACCUCCAAAAUGGCAGUUUUUACUAUUGAAGGUCCACUUUAGGAAUGCUUCUCCCUGGAGCCUGCGAUUUCAGCUUGUCGUUCCUGUUGAAGGAGCCGUGUGUGUGUGCGCGCCAACCGCCCUUUGUCAACAAUUACAUUUCCCAUAAUUUUCUUACCUUUUCAACUUAGUUAAUGGUGGGUCUUUUUUGGGUGAGGGCACAAUAUAUUUAACACUGUAUGUAGUAAAUGUCACUCUUUUUUCUGCCUAGGUUCUGAGUUUAUAUUCAGCUUUGCACUUGCCAGUCUGGGGACAGAAGUUUGCCUUUUCACAGGGUAGUUCAGUAUGCUGAAAUUAUUGUGUCAGUGGGAAAUCAUCUUCCCCACUCCUCCCAUUUCUAUGAGGUGCAAUUUUCUAUGAAUAAUUUUAGUUUCUUGCCUCAUCUUUUCAUUUCCCCCCCAGUGCUUGAGUGAAUUAUCUGUUUGUAGAGUUUCUAAGGGGAUCAGAAUAUGAAAAUUCCAGCCUUCCCGUCCCAGUCUCUUUUCUU
Equus caballus (horse) is the source of this 1157-nucleotide long non-coding RNA. Lineage: Eukaryota; Metazoa; Chordata; Mammalia; Perissodactyla; Equidae. The record is from Ensembl.